GUGUGAACAUGAAGCAGAGGGGGUGGGGGAAGGGAGAGGAGCACUUGGCUAUACCAGAACACAGGUGUUUGAUCCCCCCUUCAGGGUACAAAUAUCUUUAUGCCCUUCCCUCAAGAAACAACCUCUGGAAAGGUGAGAUUCAUUCCAGUCCAUUCCCUCCUUUUUUUUUUCCUCUUGGUCAGUCUUAGAGCCUCCACUGUCCUGACCUCCCUAUCCCUGAGACCAGAAGAAAAGGAUCACUGAGAAAAUGAAAGAUGGGUACUGAUCAGAUGUCCUCCCUCCAUUUCAGGCUUUCUGAGGACAGUCUCCCAGGAUCCAAAGACCAUAGGACUUAAGACUGGAAAAAAUCUUUGAGAUAACUUAACACCCCCCACACACACACACACACAAUAUGAGGAAACCAUUGCUCAAAGGGGUGGGGAAGAUAACUUCACAUGGACAACAAGUAGCAGAAUAGGAACUUGAAUAAUGAAGCAAUGACUGGGGAUCCAGGGUCCUCUCCUCUACCUCAUGAUGCCUCCACCGGAGCAGGAGUCAGAAGAGGGGCUCCUGGGAUCUCACUCACCAUACCAGUCUCUUAGCUAGUAAGUGGGAGAGUCAGGACCUAACCCUAUAUAUUCUGGCUUCAAAUCCAGCGCUCUUUCCACUGUCUCUUGUGAUAACGAGCCUUAAGUCUGCAGCUUGAUUUCCUUGAGACCCUUUUCUGCUCCUGAACCCAAGGGUAAGUAAGUUAGGGUGGGGUGGGGGACCCAAGUGGUAUAGUUUGAGAUAGCUGGGGAGAUGAAGAAAUGAUAAAGAAUGACUUAGCAGAUGUUGCUACCUUCCAGUAGGCUCUGGCCAGCAACCCUUCAUGGAGAGGUCCCUGGACAGCUGCUGAAAGUUGGUGUUAAUGCUCAGAGGCAGCUAGACCACAGCAGCUCACAGGUACAUUCCAGGACAACAGUCCAAGAGAAGUUCCUUCAGUCAGCUUUAUUUUCCCCCACCAGGAGGCAGUGGAAUAGAAGAUAGAGUUCCUGACCUGGAGGAAUUAGGAAGGAAAGAAGGAAGACCUAUUAGGUUUGAAAAUUGCCUUAAAAACUUUCUAGCUGUGUGAUUCUGGUCAUCAUUCAACCUCUCCCAGCCUCAGUUUUCUUAUCCAUAAAAUAGGGACAAGACUACCACCUGAUUCACAAGAUAAUUAAAAAGAUUCAAAGAGAUGAUAAAUGGAAAAUGCUUUGACUGUUUUUUUGUGGUGGCAAAAAAUGGGAAAAUGAGGGAUUGUCCCUCGAUUGGGGAAUGGCUGAACAAAUUGUGGUAUAUGAUGCUGGUGGAAUACUAUUGUGCUAUAAGGA
This 1331-nucleotide long non-coding RNA is filed under the name Monodelphis domestica (gray short-tailed opossum). RNAcentral describes it as "lncRNA (ENSMODG00000046268.1)". Lineage: Eukaryota; Metazoa; Chordata; Mammalia; Didelphimorphia; Didelphidae. The record is from RNAcentral.